GGGGCGUUAGCUCAGGUGGUAGAGCAGCUGCCUUUUAAGCAGCGGGUCGCUGGUUCAAGUCCAGCACGCCUCA
Molecule: transfer RNA, 73 nt
Filed under: Bdellovibrionales bacterium
Lineage: Bacteria; Pseudomonadati; Bdellovibrionota; Bdellovibrionia; Bdellovibrionales
Description: tRNA-Lys
Rfam family: tRNA
About the family: Transfer RNA (tRNA) molecules are approximately 80 nucleotides in length. Their secondary structure includes four short double-helical elements and three loops (D, anti-codon, and T loops). Further hydrogen bonds mediate the characteristic L-shaped molecular structure. tRNAs have two regions of fundamental functional importance: the anti-codon, which is responsible for specific mRNA codon recognition, and the 3' end, to which the tRNAs corresponding amino acid is attached (by aminoacyl-tRNA synthetases). tRNAs cope with the degeneracy of the genetic code in two manners: having more than one tRNA (with a specific anti-codon) for a particular amino acid; and 'wobble' base-pairing, i.e. permitting non-standard base-pairing at the 3rd anti-codon position.
Source: RNAcentral